GAUGAACGCUGGCGGCGUGCCUAAUACAUGCAAGUCGAGCGAAUGGAUUAAGAGCUUGCUCUUAUGAAGUUAGCGGCGGACGGGUGAGUAACACGUGGGUAACCUGCCCAUAAGACUGGGAUAACUCCGGGAAACCGGGGCUAAUACCGGAUAACAUUUUGAACCGCAUGGUUCGAAAUUGAAAGGCGGCUUCGGCUGUCACUUAUGGAUGGACCCGCGUCGCAUUAGCUAGUUGGUGAGGUAACGGCUCACCAAGGCAACGAUGCGUAGCCGACCUGAGGGGGGGAACCGGCACACUGGGACAGGGACACGGCCCACACUCCUACGGGAGGCAGCAGUAGGGAAUCUUCCGCAAUGGACGAACGUCUGACGGAGCAACGCCGCGUGAGUGAUGAAGGCUUUCGGGUCGUAAAACUCUGUUGUUAGGGAAGAACAAGUGCUAGUUGAAUAAGCUGACACCUUGACGGUACCUAACCAGAAAGCCACGGCUAACUACGUGCCAGCCGCCGCCGUAA
Molecule: ribosomal RNA, 515 nt
Filed under: uncultured bacterium
Lineage: Bacteria
Description: partial 16S ribosomal RNA
Rfam family: Bacterial small subunit ribosomal RNA
Source: RNAcentral